ACCUUUGUGACGAUUUGCGGUGCUACUAUACAAUUCUACAAUUGUACUUUUAGCUUAAUAGGGAAUCUCGUUAAACUCGAGAACUGUCCCCGCAACUGUAAACCUCUUCAAAUGUCAAAUCAUAUUUGAAACUGAUUGCAAAAUCUAUGGCAUUCUUAGCCUUACCACUGCUACCAUAAGCGGGAAGGUGCUGUAAUCAGGGAGGUGAGUCAGGAGACCUGCCGUAAAUCAUAGUGAACU
This 240-nucleotide non-coding RNA is filed under the name Emticicia oligotrophica. Lineage: Bacteria; Pseudomonadati; Bacteroidota; Cytophagia; Cytophagales; Leadbetterellaceae. The record is from RNAcentral.